UACGUAGGUGGCAAGCGUUAUCCGGAUUUACUGGGCUUAAAGGGUGCGUAGGUGGGCAGGUAAGUCAGUGGUGAAAUCUUCAAGCUUAACUUGGAAACUGCCAUUGAUACUAUUUGUCUUGAAUAUCCUGGAGGUAAGCGGAAUAUGUCAUGUAGCGGUGAAAUGCUUAGAUAUGACAUAGAACACCCAUUGCGAAGGCAGCUUACUACGGGAUUAUUGACACUGAGGCACGAAAGCGUGGGGAUCAAACAGG
Molecule: ribosomal RNA, 253 nt
Filed under: uncultured bacterium
Lineage: Bacteria
Description: partial 16S ribosomal RNA
Rfam family: Bacterial small subunit ribosomal RNA
Source: RNAcentral